Molecule: long non-coding RNA, 2628 nt
Filed under: Scophthalmus maximus (turbot)
Lineage: Eukaryota; Metazoa; Chordata; Actinopteri; Pleuronectiformes; Scophthalmidae
Description: lncRNA (ENSSMAG00000025260.1)
Source: RNAcentral
CAGGCAUGGAGACAACAAUAAGACGAGGAAUAAUUAAAUGAAGCACAAAACACACACUUAAAUAACGUAAAAACCCCAAUAAAUAAAAGCGGUUUUAAAAGCCAAGAGAGAACGAUUGGGUUUCGGUUGGUGAGGUCCUGAUGUGGAGGGGCACACUGCUCCGCAGUUUAGGAGCAAUAAACUGCAAAGGUCCAGAAGCUGGAGCUCAGAACAUCCAGGGAUCGUGUGUGUGUGUGAGUGCGUGUGUGUGCAAAUAUCUCAGGGUAGUAAGUGGACACACUGCAGGUCUCUCUGUGCAGCCUCCUCCGCCUCCUUUUGUUCCUCGCCGACUCUGUCCCUGCGAAAACGUAAUCACCAAUCAAAGGCAGAACAUCGUAUGGAUACAAAGCACUCCAAUACCAACCAGUGUUUAACAGACUCAACCUUUUUCUAACCAGUUUCAAAUGCAGACAUCAUAGAUUUGGCCCCGAAACAUGAAUGACGUGCAUCCUUAGCGUUGUCAGCUGCAAGUGGACUUAGUGUGUCAUCCGUAAAAUAUAUUUAAGUCUUCAAUACAGUUGAGUCCAAUUCUAAAUAUCAUAUUAUACAUACAUUAAAAUUACAUUAUGAAUAUUCUAUCGAGCCACUAUGGUGUGAAUUUACCUCAGUCUCUCGGUUAAUAACAGUCAAAGAUAAAUGUCUACCCUCACCAUUACAGUUUAAAGCGUCUUUUUAGGUUAUUGGAAAUCCCGCGCUGUGUAAUCUGUACAUGAAAGAAUCGAGUCCCCUUCCCAAAUAUUAAUGUGAUGCUGCUGCGCAUGUAUGCGCCGACUGAAGCUCCGACCAAAGCCAACAGACUGGGGCAAAGCCAAAGAACGUCCAGGCAGCUUGAAGCAGAUGACAAGACUGAAGAUGCAGUAGAUGGAUAGAUGAAUAGUCGUAGACUAGGUCAUAAUAGUGACUUUUAAAGCUAAGGUUUUUAACAUUAUUCUGUAUGACAAUGGCCACAUGAGACCACUGGACAGGAGAACUCCAAUAUGAUUCAGUACAGUCUGAAAAGCCUGGUGGUAAGAGACCUGUGAGGAUGGUACGGUGGCCCUAUUAUUAAAGGAGUAGUAUUUACUGUACCAACUGCAUUUAGAAAGGAAAAGAAAUUACAAAAUUAAGUGCAACUUAAAUAUUUGCUUGCGGUCUUCACAUUCGACAAUAAAAUGUUUGAAACGACGAGGGCUUUAAUUUGGUCCAUGUCACACAAAAUUCUUCGAUGCGCUCCCUAUAUUGGAAUAUGAAAACAAAACUAACCGGAUCAAAUGUCAACAAUGUUACAAAGACAUGAACCUAAGUCUGGACCUUGGUCCGGACCUGCUGGUGCAAAAACACCCUCAAUUUGUAAUUUCACUUUAAGUGAGCAAAAAAAAAAAUGUCACUGCUUUUCUUUGAACUUAAGGUUAUUACAAUAAAAAAAACUGCAUAAUGUGAGGAGGUGAAUUAAUGACAAAGAUCAAGGUGUAAAAGGAUUCAACAAUUUCAGAUGACGAGUCCGAUUACGUGUAUCUGGGUGAUGUACAGUGUGUGUGUGUGUGUGUGUGUGUGUGUGUGUGUGUGUGUGUGUGUGUGUGUGUGUUUGUUUUCGAAGGAUGUAAGGAGCUAUUUAGGGAGCCCUCUGUGUAGUAUGUGGUAAUCCGGUUAUUACACAUCUCAAUGUGAUAUUCACAGAGCUCUGCUCAGCACAAGGCCUCUGGCACAGAUUAUGCCCAUUACAUGCAGACACACACACACAAAACAUCAACAAAGGACAGGCCAACACUCAGUUUCUGAUAUAUGACACACCGCCUCUCUCCGCCUCACACACACAUUAACACAUUAAGCAGCACAUUAAGGCCGCCGACACCCAACACGCUGUCAGAGUUAAAGUCGUUCUGCUGGCUAACGAUCCAUUACACACUCCACGUAUCCCACAGCGAGCGCGACUGACGGAACCCAAAAAGGAGGGAUUACCCCCCGUGGUGACCGCCGCAAUGGUAUAGGGGUGUAGGGAUGUGGACAGGGCAAUGGAUUACAUGCCUAUCAUGGUGAAAAGAAACAGUCACCAGGGCUGCGCGGGGAAAAAGUGAAUUUUGCUUUCAGGAAGGGACAUUUAAGUUGUGGAUAGUUCUUCUUAAGCGCCACGCCGCGGCGACAUGUUAACACUUCCAGUAACAAUAACGUACAGACUUGAGUGUACUCAUGAGGAUUAGUUCAUGCACAUUGUGUGCCUUCAGCAACCAGAGUUAUCAGAUUAGUUUAGUUGAAGUUUAGUGUUUGUGUGUGUUUGUGUUUGUGUGUGUGUUUACCCACCGUGUCAGUCACUGACUCCCAUGCUGAGUUCGACUUCCACUGUUCAUUUCACCACACGAUGAAGCCCGAUGCGUCCCUGUUUCCGAAAUAGACAUGAGAGGAGGCUUAUGCUUGUGACCCUUUUUUUGAAAAACCAUGAUUACUUUAAUAGCUCAUACUUCUUCAAACACUACGACGAUUGCCGCCGAUACAGCCGUGUUUGAUUAUCAUGAUCAAAUGCACAGUAAGAUGUUGAUCAAACCACGGUGGUGUUUUUUGCAUGCAGGACUUGUGCUACACACGCACUGCAACAUUUGUUCCAAAACGCGUCAC